This 301-nucleotide ribosomal RNA is filed under the name uncultured bacterium. Its description in RNAcentral is "partial 16S ribosomal RNA". It matches the Rfam family "Bacterial small subunit ribosomal RNA", at positions 509 to 807 of the family's 1533-position model. The record is from RNAcentral.
CAGCCGCCGCGGUAAUACGAGGGGGGCAAGCGUUGUUCGGAAUUAUUGGGCGUAAAGGGUGCGUAGGCGGCUUGACAAGUCUUGUGUGAAAUCUAUGGGCUCAACCCAUAGUCUGCACGGGAAACUGUCGGGCUUGAGAAUGGGAGAGGUGAGUGGAAUUUCCGGAGUAGCGGUGAAAUGCGUAGAUAUCGGAAGGAACACCUGUGGCGAAAGCGGCUCACUGGACCAUUUCUGACGCUGAGGUGCGAAAGCGUGGGGAGCAAACAGGAUUAGAUACCCCCGUAGUCCCUGUCUCUUAUAC